RNAcentral lists this ribosomal RNA (436 nucleotides) under uncultured Oscillospiraceae bacterium. RNAcentral describes it as "bacterial SSU rRNA". It matches the Rfam family "Bacterial small subunit ribosomal RNA", at positions 341 to 792 of the family's 1533-position model. Lineage: Bacteria; Bacillati; Bacillota; Clostridia; Eubacteriales; Oscillospiraceae. The record is from RNAcentral.
ACGGGAGGCAGCAGUGGGGAAUAUUGGGCAAUGGGCGAAAGCCUGACCCAGCAACGCCGCGUGAAGGAAGAAGGCCUUCGGGUUGUAAACUUCUUUUAAGAGGGACGAAGGAUUGACGGUACCUCUUGAAUAAGCUACGGCUAACUACGUGCCAGCAGCCGCGGUAAUACGUAGGUGGCAAGCGUUAUCCGGAUUUACUGGGUGUAAAGGGCGCGUAGGCGGGAAAGCAAGUCAGAUGUGAAAUACUUCGGCUUAACCGGAGAGCUGCAUUUGAAACUGUUUUUCUUGAGUACUGGAGAGGUAGGCGGAAUUCCCGGUGUAGCGGUGAAAUGCAUAGAUAUCGGGAGGAACAUCAGUGGCGAAGGCGGCCUACUGGACAGCAACUGACGCUGAGGCGCGAAAGCGUGGGGAGCAAACAGGAUUAGAUACCCUGGUA